Molecule: unclassified non-coding RNA, 327 nt
Filed under: soil metagenome
Description: partial contains 5.8S ribosomal RNA, internal transcribed spacer 2, and large subunit ribosomal RNA
Rfam family: 5.8S ribosomal RNA (bases 5-119)
Source: RNAcentral
GAUGAGAACGUAGCGAAAUGCGAUAAGUAAUGUGAAUUGCAGAAUUCAGUGAAUCAUCGAAUCUUUGAACGCACAUUGCGCCCCUUGGUAUUCCGAGGGGCAUGCCUGUUCGAGCGUCAUUAUAACCCCUCAAGCUCAGCUUGGUGUUGGGGCCUGCUGCACUGGCAGCCCUUAAAAUCAGUGGCGGCGCCAUCUGGCUCUAAGCGUAGUAAUUCUUCUCGCUAUGGAGUCCUGGUGGAUGCUUGCCAUCAACCCCCAAUUUUUCUAUGGUUGACCUCGGAUCAGGUAGGGAUACCCGCUGAACUUAAGCAUAUCAUAAGCGGAGGA